UGAAUACGAGACGCUAAGGCGUCGAAGUAGUGUAUGUCAUACUUCCAAGAAAAGCUUGCACUGUCAUAGAUAAAAAACGCCUGUACCAUAACCGACACAGGUGGGUAGGUAGAGUAUACUAAGGGGCGCGAGAUAACUCUCUCUAAGGAACUCGGCAAAAUAACUCCGUAACUUCGGGAGAAGGAGUGCCUUAUUCGUAAGGUUGCAAUAACAAGAUCCAAGCAACUGUUUAUCAAAAACACAGGUCUCCGCUAAGUCGUAAGACGAUGUAUGGGGGCUGACGCCUGCCCAGUGCCAGAAGGUUAAAGAAGUUGGUUAGCAAUUGCGAAGCUGAUAACUGAAGCCCUGGUGAACGGCGGCCGUAACUAUAACGUUCCUAAGGUAGCGAAAUUCCUUGUCGGGUAAGUUCCGACCCGCACGAAAGGCGUAAUGAUUUGGAUACUGUCUCGGAGAGGGGCUCGGUGAAAUAGACUUGUCUGUGAAGAUGCGGACUACCUGCACCAGGACAGAAAGACCCUAUGAAGCUUUACUGUAACUUGAAAUUGAAAUUGGACUUUAUUCGCGCAGCAUAGGUGGGAGGCGUUGAUUAUAAUCUUGCGGGAUUAUUGGAGCCAUCAGUGAGAUACCACUCUUGUAAUGUUAGAUUUCUAACUUUGAAUCAUUAUCUGGUCAAAGAACAGUUUCAGGCGGGCAGUUUGACUGGGGCGGUCGCCUCCUAAACGGUAACGGAGGCGUACAAAGGUUUCCUCUGAACGGUUAGAAAUCGUAUCUAGAGUGUAAAGGCAUAAGGAAGCUUGACUGUGAGACCUACAAGUCGAGCAGGGACGAAAGUCGGUCUUAGUGAUCUGACGGUACUGAGUGGAAAGGCCGUCACUCAACGGAUAAAAGUUACUCUAGGAUAACAGGCUGAUCUCCCCCAAGAGUUCACAUCGACGGGGAGGUUUGGCACCUCGAUGUCGGCUCAUCGCAUCCUGGGGCGGUAGCACGUCCCAAGGGUUGGGCUGUUCGCCCAUGAAAGCGGUACGCGAGCUGGGUUCAGAACGUCGUGAGACAGUUCGGUCCAUAUCCGGUGUAGGCGUUAGAAUAUUGAGAGGAGCCUUCUUUAGUACGAGAGGACCGAGAAGGACAUACCUCUGGUGUACCAGUUAUCGUGCCAACGGUAAACGCUGGGUAGCUAUGUAUGGAGUGGAUAACCGCUGAAAGCAUCUAAGUGGGAAGCCCACCUCAAGAUAAG
RNAcentral lists this ribosomal RNA (1234 nucleotides) under metagenome. RNAcentral describes it as "bacterial LSU rRNA". It matches the Rfam family "Bacterial large subunit ribosomal RNA", at positions 1564 to 2808 of the family's 2925-position model. The record is from RNAcentral.